GUCCUCUUGUGGUGAUGAAGUGCAUUGUCUCGGGCCUCCAUAUGCGCACCUUAUUAAGCCUGUUUGCACUCGAAAACAGGAAGCUUGGAGUUGUAAAGAAGCCAGACACAAAGUGCAUCAUAAAGAUGGAAUUUAUAGCUAGAUUAACAUGGAAGGACUGAUUGUAUUACUGUACAAAAAAAUAUAACCAGAUGCACAGGACAUCAAAACCAGAUCCCUGGGGAAUGGAAAACGUUUGCGGCUGAAGCAGUAAACUACUCGCGGAGGAACAUUGUUUUGGUAGUUUUGGUUCCACUAUUCUGCACGGAUGAAUCUGUCACCACUGCUAAUGUUUCCAGAAACCAAAACUCUCCAAAAUCAAAGAAGGAAGAAAAUGAAAGAUUCUGAAAAUUGUUUGAUGAGCUGUGCAUUAUGUAGUUUCCCAGGAAAUCCAUCAGACAACUAAGGCAAAAAGGGGGGAGGGGGACAAAAACAAAAGGAAUGAACAUCUGUGCCAUCUAGAAGAAACAUUUGAGACAUUGUUGACUCUUAAAUGGGCUCUCCAUUAUGUCACCUGAGCUACAAAACAGAAAGCUCUUGUCAUGAUUACAAGGGAAUACUGACAUUUACACCAGGUACGCACUAACACACCCUAAUGCUGAGGAUGCUGGAGAAUGUUCUCAUUCUGCAUGAACAAAGUGGUGUUCUUUACAGAGUUCUGGGCUUUCCGCCCAUGUUUUUGAUCCACUUGGAUUUAAGGCAUUCUGACAACAUGGAACAUUUGUGAGAUUACUGUAGGGAGUGAUUCUGUUCCGUCUGGCGGAAGGAUUCAAGUUCAGCUGGUUCCCCUUCAAGUCAGGCAUUAUUACAGACAUCCUGCGGAGGCAGAAGGGCUUUCUAGAACGGACCGUUUCCAGGUUCUCAUGCAGUCACAACAGAGAGCUCACAAACUCAAUUUCACUUAGAGAGCCAUGUGAUGUCAAAUAAAUGUACUGGAUUUAAUAAAUGUUCACUUUUAAUUGCAUCUUU
Carassius gibelio (silver crucian carp) is the source of this 1008-nucleotide long non-coding RNA. RefSeq lists it as uncharacterized. The record is from RefSeq and is a predicted model, not a curated record. NCBI's taxonomy places the organism in Eukaryota, Metazoa, Chordata, Actinopteri, Cypriniformes, Cyprinidae. The transcript has 4 exons.